RNAcentral lists this ribosomal RNA (463 nucleotides) under uncultured bacterium. Its description in RNAcentral is "partial 16S ribosomal RNA". It matches the Rfam family "Bacterial small subunit ribosomal RNA", at positions 28 to 507 of the family's 1533-position model. The record is from RNAcentral.
GACGAACGCUGGCGGCGUGCUUAACACAUGCAAGUCGAGCGGUAAGGCCCUUCGGGGUACACGAGCGGCGAACGGGUGAGUAACACGUGAGUAAUCUGCCCAUCACUUCGGGAUAACUCCGGGAAACCGGUGCUAAUACCGAAUAUGACCACUUCAGGCAUCUGAUGGUGGUGGAAAGUUCCGGCGGUGAUGGAUGAGCUCGCGGCCUAUCAGCUUGUUGGUGGGGUAGUGGCCUACCAAGGCUUCGACGGGUAGCCGGCCUGAGAGGGUGACCGGCCACACUGGGACUGAGACACGGCCCAGACUCCUACGAGAGGCAGCAGUGGGGAAUAUUGGACAAUGGGCGAAAGCCUGAUCCAGCAACGCCGCGUGAGGGAUGACGGCCUUCGGGUUGUAAACCUCUUUCAGCAGGGACGAAGCGCAAGUGACGGUACCUGCAGAAGAAGCACCGGCCAACUACGUG